Molecule: ribosomal RNA, 254 nt
Filed under: uncultured bacterium
Lineage: Bacteria
Description: partial 16S ribosomal RNA
Rfam family: Bacterial small subunit ribosomal RNA
Source: RNAcentral
UACGUAGGGCCCGAGCGUUAUCCGGAAUUAUUGGGUGUAAAGUGCGCGUAGGCGUUCUGUUAAGUCGGUUGUUAAAUCUCAUCGCCUAACGAUGAGACCGCGAGCGAUACUAGCAGAAUUGAGUAACACAGGGGCAAGCAGAAUUUCCAGAGUAGGGGUGAAAUCCGUUGAUACUGGAAGGAAUACCAAUGGCGAAGGCAGCUUGCUGGGUGCUUACUGACGCUGAGUGCGCGAAAGCGUGGGGAGCAAACGGG